RNAcentral lists this ribosomal RNA (2985 nucleotides) under marine sediment metagenome. RNAcentral describes it as "bacterial LSU rRNA". It matches the Rfam family "Bacterial large subunit ribosomal RNA". The record is from RNAcentral.
AUAAGGGCACACGGUGGAUGCCUUGGCGCCAAACGCCGAUGAAGGACGUGGGACACUGCGAUAAGCCUCGGGUAGCCGUGUACAGGUGUAGAUCCGAGGAUUUCCGAAUAGGGAAACCUGCCGCUGCGAUCCAGCGGCAUCCCGACCUGAACACAUAGGGUCGGUGAAGGGAACCUGGGGAACUGAAACAUCUUAGUACCCAGAGGAAAAGAGAUCAUUCCCCUAGUAGUGGCGAGCGAACGGGGAUCAGCCCAAACCAGUCAGGCUUGCUUGACUGGGGUUGUAGGGCUCGACAUUUGGGAGUUACCAAUCCGGCGGCUAGCAAAAUGGUAUGGAAAAGCCAACCAUAGAGGGUGACAGUCCCGUAUGCGAAAGCUGCUGGACUCCCGUUGAGUUCCUGAGUACCACCGGGCACGCUAAUCCGGUGGGAAGCUGGGGAGUCCACUCUCCAAGGCUAAAUACGUUUGGCGACCGAUAGUGAACAAGUACCGUGAGGGAAAGGUGAAAAGCACCCCGGUGAGGGGAGUGAAAUAGAACCUGAAACCGCGUGCCUACAAGCAGUCGAAGGGCUAAUGGCGGGUCUGUGCGCCGGCGAAAGCCGGCUGUGCGCCGCUAGGCCUGACGGCGUGCCUUUUGGAGAAUGAGCCUGCGAGUUAAUUUCUGUGGCCAGGUUAAGGGAGUAACACCCGUAGCCGUAGCGAAAGCGAGUCUGAAUAGGGCGUCCAGUCGCAGGGAUUAGACACGAAACCGAGUGAGCUACCCAUGGCCAGGGUGAAGCGAGUCUAACCGCUCGUGGAGGCCCGCACCCACUAACGUUGCAAAGUUAGGGGAUGAGCUGUGGGUAGAGGUGAUAUGCCAAUCGAACUCGGAGAUAGCUUGUUCUCCCCGAAAUAGCUUUAGGGCUAGCGUCAUGCGUUCAGUAACGGAGGUAGAGCACUGGAUGGGCUAGGGGGCUUACUGCUUACCGAACCCAACCAAACUCCGAAUGCCGUUACUCCAGAGCAUGGCAGUCGGACUACGGGAGAUGAGUUUCGUAGUCGAGAGGGAAAGAGCCCAGACCAUCGGCUAAGGUCCUCAAGUCUAGACUAAGUGGGAAACGAUGUGAGACUACUGUGACAACCAGGAGGUUGGCUUAGAAGCAGCCACCCUUUAAAGAGUGCGUAACAGCUCACUGGUCAAGUGGUCUUGCGCGGAAAAUGUAACGGGGCUAAGUCUAGCACCGAAGCCAUGGGUCUCUCUUCUGCUUCGGCGGAAGAGGGGCGGUAGGGGAGCGUUCUGUCUGCAGUGAAGGUCGACCGUGAGGACGGCUGGAGCGGGCAGAAGUGAGAAUGCAGGCAUGAGUAGCGUAAAACACGUGAGAACCGUGUUCGCCGUAAGUCUAAGGUUUCCGACGGCAGGUCAAUCCGCGUCGGGUUAGUCGGUCCUUAGCCGAGGCCGUAAGGCGUAGGCGAUGGACAUCCGGUCAACAUUCCGGAACCACCUAGGUUGAGCGAUGGAAGGACGCAGUUUGGUAAGCCAGCCUGCGAUUGGUUGUGCAGGUGUAAGUGUGUAGGCGUUGACGCCGGCAGGUAAAUCCACCGGCUGAGCUGAGGCACGAAUGCGAGCCCCUGAGGCGUAAGUGGCCCAGCCAAGCUGCCUAGAAAAGUUUCUAAGCUAUGACAUCUAGGUGACCGUACCGCAAACCGACACUGGUAGACGGGUAGAGUAUACCAAGGCGAACGGGAGAACCUUCGUUAAGGAACUAGGCAAAUUAGCCCCGUAACUUCGGGAGAAGGGGUGCCCUCAGACGUGAUACCGCUGGCCGGUUUAGCGUCAGAGGGUCGCAGUGAAAUGGCUCUGGUGACUGGUUAACAAAACCACAGGUCUCUGCGAAGCCGUAAGGCGACGUAUAGGGGCUGACGCCUGCCCAGUGCCGGAAGGUUAAGGGGUGGGGUUAUCCUCGCUUCGGCGUGGAAAAGCUCUGAACCGAAGCCCCGGUGAACGGCGGCUGUAACUAUAACAGUCCUAAGGUAGCGAAAUUCCUUGUCGGGUAAGUUCCGACCCGCACGAACGGCGUAACAAUCGGAGCACUGUCUCAACGAAGGACCCGGUGAAAUUGAACUACGCGUGAAGAUGCGCGUUACCCGCAGCAGGACAAAAAGACCCCGUGGAGCUUUACUGCAGCUUGGCAUUGCGUUUGGGCAUGGUUUGUGUAGCAUAGGUGGGAGGCCGUGAAACUGGGGCGUCAGCCUCGGCGGAGCCGCCCGUGAAAUACCACCCUGACCCUGUCUUGACCCUAACCCCAUACCGUUAGCCGGAUGGGGGACCGUGCCUGGUGGGCAGUUUGACUGGGGCGGUCGCCUCCUAAAAGGUAACGGAGGCGCCCAAAGGUUCCCUCAGGCUGAAUGGAAACCAGCCUAAGAGUGUAAAGGCAUAAGGGAGCUUGACUGCAAGACCAACGCGUCGAGCAGAGACGAAAGUCGGGCUUAGUGAUCCCACGGUUCCGUGUGGAAGGGCCGUGGCUUACCGGAUAAAAGCUACCCCGGGGAUAACAGGCUGGUGAAGUCCAAGAGUCCAUAUCGACGACUUCGCUCGGCACCUCGAUGUCGGCUCAUCGCAUCCUGGGGCUGAAUAAGGUCCCAAGGGUCGGGCUGUUCGCCCGUUAAAGCGGUACGCGAGCUGGGUUCAGACCGUCGUGAGACAGGUCGGUCUCUAUCCGCUGUGGGCGCAAGGGACUUGCGGAGAGCUGCCCCUAGUACGAGAGGACCGGGGUGGACAGACCGCUGGUGUGCCAGUUGUCGUGCCAACGGCAUCGCUGGGUAGCUAUGUCUGGCAGAGAUAACCGCUGAAAGCAUCUAAGUGGGAAACUCGCUCCUAGAUCAGGUCCCUCAUCCCUCGCCUCGCGAGGGAGUAAGGCCGCAGGUAGACUACCUGCUUGAUAGGCGGCAGGUGUAAGCGCAGCAAUGUGUUCAGCUAAGCCGUACUAAUGGCCGAGGACUUGCCCCC